RNAcentral lists this long non-coding RNA (1709 nucleotides) under Heterocephalus glaber (naked mole-rat). Its description in RNAcentral is "lncRNA (ENSHGLG00000037348.1)". Lineage: Eukaryota; Metazoa; Chordata; Mammalia; Rodentia; Bathyergidae. The record is from RNAcentral.
CCAAGACAUUGCUUUGUAAAUUGAGGUGGAGAAGUUGUUACAUGAUUCUGUCAGCCUAGUAAUCAAGAAAAGAUUUUUGAAAGACAAUGCUGAUUCCUGUAUCAAUACUAAUAGUUUGGAAAAUUUUUAUAUGUUAUAAUGAAAUACAAGCAAGCUUUUAAUAUUGGCCCUUCAAAACGUCAAGAAACUUGGUGGUACUAAUAAAUCACAUUGUUUUGCAUUAUUGUAACAUGUUUUUCUGCUUGUAGAAGAAAUACAUGCUUGCCAUUAAAAAUAUAAAAUGCAUGAAGAACAAAAGCAUCAUUCAAAUCUAUUUGGAGAUAAUCAUGUUAUAAUAUUCUUGUGUAUUCCUUGCAGACUUUCAAAUAUGUAUUUGUAAUUUUACAUGGUUAACUUUUAAAAAAUCAUAUAUUCAGAUGUCUAUGUAAAUACAGAGCUACAGUAUCACCUUCAAUGGCUAUAUAAUUUUUACAUCGUGUGCACCAGAACUUCUUUUACCAAUACUAAUUUUAAUGAUGGUUUACAUUUAUUUUUAGUGCUUACAACAUAACAGGCACCGUUACAGGGCUUUGCUUGUAUUAAUCCAUUUCAUCCUCACAGCCUUAUUAUUCUUGUUUCUUAGAGGUAAGGAAACACACCAAAAAGUGAAGCAAUUUCUCCAAAUUUUUAAUGUUUGACAUUUUAGAGGUUAACAAUACUUUGGUAUUAUAAACGAUACUGCCACGUAUCUUUUGCUCAUGUUUUCGAAUGAUAAAUUUCAAAAAUAAAUAGACCUGCUGAGUCCAAAAGUAUUCACAUUUUUAAAAGCUUGUUACAGGCUUCCAAAUAUUUCCCUUAAGAAAGUUGUUAACUUACACUCAACCAACGGUAUGUGAAUGUACAGUUGCCUACAUCCCUGAUUCUGUUACUUUGAAUGAUGAAAAACAUCUGCUACUUUGACAUUUUCACUUUUGGAAGUGGAACUUCAUUUUAAACGCGCUUUUGUAAUAAUGGCUUGUUAUACUAUGAUACUAAUCUUCUUGUUGCCACACCAGCAUUUGUUUCCAUGCUACUUCUGAGUUGUGAAUUAGGUAAAUUUACAUAAUUUCUAAUUACGUGCAAAAUGACCUUACUAAGUCCUUUGCAAGUGCGACGCAAAAUCUAGUAGAAGCUCCUUCCACUUUCUCCACGAUAGUGGAUGAUUUUUGUCACACACACACUAUAAAUUCAUAUUUGAAGUUGCCGGCAAUCAUGAGUCAAUUUCUAACUUCAGUUUUUCAGCUUUCCUUUUUUCUGUUGCUCAGUUUCAGAAGGCUGUCUGGGGCUGUGAAAGGUCCGUUUCUCUUCAUCAGCUGCUUGGUGACUGCACGCUUAGUCAGGCGGCGCCGACGCCCCAGUAGAAGAGUUUUCCGCAGCCUGGAAGCCGGGCGCUCGGGGGCUCCCGGGAAGGUGCCAGCGCCCUGACACUCCCCUCUUCAGGGAUGCCAGCCAAUCCUUCAGCUCACAUGACUUCAUCAGCCAAGUUCUGGUCACCUCACACAGCGGGUUAAACUGAUAGUCUCUUUACUUAGAUUACCCAAAGGAGUUCUCACACCCUUCGCGGGACUACAGUGUUCGACACAAGACCAAAUUUGGGGCUGGGGGAGAACAAAAAAAAUCUCGCGGACUCUAACUCGACCCUCUUUCUUUUUCCUCAGUCUCUGAUUCACUCCUGGGGUGGUUAGUCGUCC